Long non-coding RNA from Cervus elaphus (red deer), 150 nucleotides. RefSeq lists it as uncharacterized. Lineage: Eukaryota; Metazoa; Chordata; Mammalia; Artiodactyla; Cervidae. The transcript is spliced from 3 exons. The record is from RefSeq and is a predicted model, not a curated record.
GAGAAGGGGGUGACAGAGGAUGAGAUGGUUGGAUGGCAUCACCAACUCAAUGGACAUGAGUUUGAGUAAACUCUGGGAGUUGGUGAUGGACAGGGAGGCCUGGCGUGCUGUGAUUCAUGGGGUCGCAAAGAGUCAGACACAACUGAGCGA